GAACGGCCCUUGCUGCUACCAACAUGGAGACUUUGUACCGUGUCCCGUUCUUAGUGCUCGAAUGUCCCAACCUGAAGCUGAAGAAGCCGCCCUGGUUGCACAUGCCGUCGGCCAUGACUGUGUAUGCUCUGGUGGUGGUGUCUUACUUCCUCAUCACCGGAGCCCUCCCAUCCCAGGGAUCCGAGUCAAAUAUAUUUUUCAAGGCCAAAUUGUUGCUCUUUUUAUUGCUUGCCAUACGUUGUUUGAUAAAUGUCCUGGGAAAGCCUAGUUUGGCCAACUCCGUUUCCAUGGUUGGUUGGUUGAUAAAGGUCCUGGGAAGGUCUAAUUUGGCCAACUCCGCUUCCAUGGUUGGUCAAGAGCUUGUGGGACUUUUAAACUUGUCUUUGUCCUGGAAUCUUGGAAGAGACUUGACAGUCUUUAGUUUUGUUGGCUCAAACCUACGGUUCUGUGUUGCCUUUUGCAUGACCUAGAAUAAAUAUCAGUGGAAUUUUCUGAAAUCACAGGUUUGAUAAAUAUUUGAGAUUGGAGAUGAGAUUUGCAGACGAUACUGUAUUUCAGUGGGCAGAAGUUGAGAAUUAAAAUAAAUAGCAUUACUAUUAAACGCUUCUGAAUUGUCUAUC
Molecule: small RNA, 620 nt
Filed under: Pan troglodytes (chimpanzee)
Lineage: Eukaryota; Metazoa; Chordata; Mammalia; Primates; Hominidae
Description: processed transcript
Source: RNAcentral